RNAcentral lists this ribosomal RNA (422 nucleotides) under uncultured archaeon. RNAcentral describes it as "partial 16S ribosomal RNA". It matches the Rfam family "Archaeal small subunit ribosomal RNA", at positions 323 to 746 of the family's 1478-position model. The record is from RNAcentral.
CUACGGGACGCUGCAGUUAGGAAUAUUCUGCAAUGCGCGCAAGCGUGACAGAUUGAACCAGAGUGCUUUCCAAUUGGAAAGCUUUUGCCAAAUGUAAAAAGUUUGGCGAAUAAGGACUGGGUAAGACGAGUGCCAGCCGCCGCGGUAAUACUCGCGGUCCAAGUCGCAGCCAUUUUUAUUGGGUCUAAAACAUACGUAGCUUGUAGUUUAAGUUUCCUGUGAAAUUUUAUCUCUUAAAGAUAGAGCGGGCAGGAAGUACUGAACUACUAGAGACUGGAAGACGUAAAGAAGUACGAUUAAAGUAGCGGUAAAAUGUUUUGAUCUUAAUCGGACUCACAAUAGCGAAGGCAUCUUACGAGGACAGUUCUGACAGUAAGGGAUGAAGGCUAGGGGCGCAAAACGGAUUAGAUACCCGAGUAGUC